RNAcentral lists this ribosomal RNA (481 nucleotides) under uncultured bacterium. RNAcentral's name for it is "bacterial SSU rRNA". It matches the Rfam family "Bacterial small subunit ribosomal RNA", at positions 28 to 507 of the family's 1533-position model. The record is from RNAcentral.
GACGAACGCUGGCGGCGUGCCUAACACAUGCAAGUCGAGCGGAGUCGAUCGACGGAAGCCUUCGGGCGGAAGAUGGUUGACUUAGCGGCGGAUGGGUGAGUAACGCGUGGGCAACCUGCCUCGAAGACCGGGAUAACAGUCCGAAAGGGCUGCUAAUACCGGAUGUGGUCAAGGAUCCGCAUGGAUUUUUGAUUAAAGGGGAAACCCGUUUCGAGAUGGGCCCGCGUCCUAUCAGCUAGUUGGUGAGGUAAAAGCUCACCAAGGCGACGACGGGUAGCCGGCCUGAGAGGGUGACCGGCCACACUGGAACUGAGACACGGUCCAGACUCCUACGGGGGGCAGCAGUGGGGAAUCUUCCACAAUGGGCGAAAGCCUGAUGGAGCGACGCCGCGUGAGCGAAGAAGGCCUCGGUUGUAAAGCUCUGUCCGGAGGGACGAAGGAAGUGACGGUACCUCCGGAGGAAGCCACGGCUAACUACGUG